This is a long non-coding RNA of Pogoniulus pusillus (Red-fronted tinkerbird), 1123 nucleotides long. RefSeq lists it as uncharacterized. NCBI's taxonomy places the organism in Eukaryota, Metazoa, Chordata, Aves, Piciformes, Lybiidae. The transcript has 2 exons. The record is from RefSeq and is a predicted model, not a curated record.
CCGCGGGGACAGGACGGAGGAAUGGGCACUGCUGUGCCCUCAGACAAAGCUGAAGCUACACAAGCAAGCCCUGGGGGUGCUCCUGGGCAGCACCGAGCCGCCGCUGGCUGAGGGCAGGACCAGCCAGGACUCAGCCAAGCUGCCCUUGCUCCUGUCCUGCUCAGACAGAGCUGGGAGGGGACCAUAACCCGCGGCAGAAAGUGAGGGACACCGAGAGGAGAGGAGAGCAGAAGCCACCAAGGCUGUGACACAGGCAGGGACGAGGCACAGAGCUGCUUAACCACGGCCCCAGGAGGAUGCUUUGCUGCCUCCCUCCUGCCACCUCCGGCAGAGCCCAACCCUACCGCGGGAACUCUGUGUUUGAAUCCGAGAUGCAGCACAAGGACUCGGUCCUGCCCUGGCUCCACCAUGUGUGCAUGGAUGUGCUUCAGGGGCUGGAGAGCAGCAGCUCCCUGCCCUGCUGGGCACAGCCCAAAGGUCUCCAGAGAGCUUCCAUGCCAGCUGGUGCCUCUGCUCAGCAGCUUGAUGAAGCCACUCUCGUACUGGGUGAGGACGCCCACAACGUCCAGGUGCCUGGAGCUCAGCCUGUCCCGGUCCACUCUCAGCCUGCACACAGGUCCCUCCAGCCCGCCCAGCGGCCAGGGCUGCAGGCUGGAGCUGGCCCAGCCCAAGGCUCCAUCCUCAGCCAUGCCCUGAGAGCAUCCCGGGCCCGGCUCAGGCUGCGGGAAGCGGCUCCCAGGAGCUGCCCGCCUGGAUCUCGGCGCGGGGCUGGCUCCUGCUCUUCCCCGCAGGGUGAACUUCUCCCUCUCGCUCUGCUCAGCUCCGAGGCUCAGCUCCGACCUUACCCCGGCGCUCCCCUGCCUCGGAACCGCCGCCGAGGGGAGCAGCAGCACCAAGCACGGCAGGAGCAGCCCAAGAGCAGCCUUCAUCUUCUCCCCGCAGCCGCUGGGGAAGCGGUUCGGGAGCAGUGGGGUGGAAGGGGAGGUCGGAGGCUGCUUUUGAACCGGCGGUGGCCUUGAGUUGACAAUGCACAACACCUCCCCGGAGCAGCUCCCCGGGGCUGCGGGGCUGCAGGGGAGGGAGGGAAGGGAAGGGAGGUUGCAAAGAAAGAGUUUCUGUUCUA